UGGGGAAUUUUGGACAAUGGGCGAAAGUCUGAUCCAGCAAUGCCGCGUGUGUGAAGAAGGCCUUCGGGUUGUAAAGCACUUUUGUCCGGAAAGAAAAUCCUUGGCUCUAAUACAGUCGGGGGAUGACGGUACCGGAAGAAUAAGCACCGGCUAACUACGUGCCAGCAGCCGCGGUAAUACGUAGGGUGCAAGCGUUAAUCGGAAUUACUGGGCGUAAAGCGUGCGCAGGCGGUUUGCUAAGACCGAUGUGAAAUCCCCGGGCUCAACCUGGGAACUGCAUUGGUGACUGGCAGGCUAGAGUAUGGCAGAGGGGGGUAGAAUUCCACGUGUAGCAGUGAAAUGCGUAGAGAUGUGGAGGAAUACCGAUGGCGAAGGCAGCCCCCUGGG
Molecule: ribosomal RNA, 387 nt
Filed under: uncultured bacterium
Lineage: Bacteria
Description: partial 16S ribosomal RNA
Rfam family: Bacterial small subunit ribosomal RNA
Source: RNAcentral